Molecule: long non-coding RNA, 970 nt
Organism: Notolabrus celidotus (New Zealand spotty)
Lineage: Eukaryota; Metazoa; Chordata; Actinopteri; Labriformes; Labridae
Exons: 2
Source: RefSeq, a predicted model, not a curated record
GUCCUGUUCACCUUGUCUAACGUUACUUACAAUGUGCUCGGUCCUGUUGGCUCUGGAUCUGCAGCACAGAGGAUAUUUGCUGUAGUAAACCACUACCAGCAACAGGAUCACCAAACCGAUGACGACACAGGAGCCUGAGGAAGAGGAGGAGUAUGACUUUGUCACUGCUUCAGAUGUACAGAGAUGUGCAGAGGGAUGCAUGGAGGGAAUUCCCUUCUUAAACACACUACAGAUGAAACACGGGAAAGCUAGAUGUAAAAUCGUAUUGAAGCAGAACCUUCUCUCAAAAAAAUCUACAAUGUAUAUUGCUUCUUGUGCAUGUUUCAGAUUUACACCUCAGUAUAAGAUGUGCCUGCUAAACUCCUGCCAUUUGUAAUAUUUCAGUCCUGAAUCUGACUCGAGUGUGUUUAAAAAAUGUAACUUUUGCUGAUGAUUUCGGAGAGAAUGUAUGACAGUGUACAAGAAGCUGUUUCCUUUGUUUCAGUAGCCUAUGCUGAUUGACGAGUCAGUUUGUGAGAUCAAAUAUAUAGUUUAUGCAAAGGAUCAUGUAUAGUGAGGUGGUGGCUAUUGAAAGGAUUCUAUUUUUUACAUAACCUGUGGCUUUAAGCUCAGUCCAUAUCAUAGUGAAUGUAAUUUCUUCUCAUCCCUAAAAAGUGUCCUAAUGUCCAGUGAAUCCUCCUAACAGUGCUCUCUGUAUUAAAUUCCCAUCCCACAGCGUCCUGAAGGACCAGGAGAUCAAUAAAAGCUGACCAUUAGCUAAGUAUUGAUUUAAAGAUAAUUUUAACAAUUUAAGAAUGAUUUAUUCACACAGCCCCCCAGAGAAGUCUCUCAGCUCAAGCGGUCAGUUGACAACAAUACACUUAGCAGCAUACUUGUGAGUCAAAACUGGUCUCAUACACAAUAAAGUCUAAACAUGAGCAAUGUUCUGUUGUCAGUAAAUAAAAACAGCUCCUCUAUAAGCUCCCUGUAA